AAAUGCGAUAAGUAAUGUGCAUUGCAGAAUUCAGUGAAUCAUCGAAUCUUUGAACGCACAUUGCGCCCGCCAGCAUUCUGGCGGGCAUACCUGUUCGAGCGUCAUUUCAACCCUCGAGCCCCCCCGGGGGCCUCGGUGUUGGGGGACGGCACACCAGCCGCCCCCGAAAUGCAGUGGCGACCCCGCCGCAGCCUCCCCUGCGUAGUAGCACACACCUCGCACCGGAGCGCGGAGGCGGUCACGCCGUAAAACGCCCAACUUUCUUAGAGUUGACCUCGGAUCAGGUAGGAAUACCCGCUGAACUUAAGC
This 309-nucleotide unclassified non-coding RNA is filed under the name plant metagenome. RNAcentral's name for it is "partial contains 5.8S ribosomal RNA, internal transcribed spacer 2, and large subunit ribosomal RNA". The stretch from base 1 to 104 matches the Rfam family "5.8S ribosomal RNA", at positions 51 to 154 of the family's 154-position model. The record is from RNAcentral.